This 530-nucleotide ribosomal RNA is filed under the name Corynebacterium sp. CCUG 71335. RNAcentral describes it as "bacterial SSU rRNA". It matches the Rfam family "Bacterial small subunit ribosomal RNA", at positions 1 to 544 of the family's 1533-position model. Lineage: Bacteria; Bacillati; Actinomycetota; Actinomycetes; Mycobacteriales; Corynebacteriaceae. The record is from RNAcentral.
UUUGUGGAGAGUUUGAUCCUGGCUCAGGAUGAACGCUGGCGGCGUGCUUAACACAUGCAAGUCGAACGGAAAGGCCGAAGCUUGCUUCGGUACUCGAGUGGCGAACGGGUGAGUAACACGUGGGUGAUCUGCCCUGCACUUUGGGAUAAGCCUGGGAAACUGGGUCUAAUACCAGAUAGGACCACGUCUUGGAUGGUGUGGUGGAAAGUUUUUUCGGUGUGGGAUGAGCUCGCGGCCUAUCAGCUUGUUGGUGGGGUAAUGGCCUACCAAGGCGUCGACGGGUAGCCGGCCUGAGAGGGUGUACGGCCACAUUGGGACUGAGAUACGGCCCAGACUCCUACGGGAGGCAGCAGUGGGGAAUAUUGCACAAUGGGCGCAAGCCUGAUGCAGCGACGCCGCGUGGGGGAUGACGGCCUUCGGGUUGUAAACUCCUUUCGCCAGGGACGAAGCGUAAGUGACGGUACCUGGAUAAGAAGCACCGGCUAACUACGUGCCAGCAGCCGCGGUAAUACGUAGGGUGCGAGCGUUGU